AGGAGUGGAGCCUGCGGCUUAAUUUGACUCAACACGGGAAACCUCACCAGGCCCAGACACUGGAAGGAUUGACAGAUUGAGAGCUCUUUCUUGAUUCAGUGGGUGGUGGUGCAUGGCCGUUCUUAGUUGGUGGAGCGAUUUGUCUGGUUAAUUCCGAUAACGAACGAGACUCUAGCCUACUAAAUAGACGUUACACUUUCCAGUAUCUCGAAGGCUCACAUCUCUCAUUUCUUUAUUGCACAUCACUGGACAUUUCGGUGUUUUCAGUUGGUGUGUGGUGGGUGGGAGUUUGUGGUUUUUACUACUGGCGUACAUAUAAAUCUUCUUAGAGGGACAGGCGGCUUCUAGCCGCACGAGAUUGAGCAAUAACAGGUCUGUGAUGCCCUUAGAUGUUCUGGGCCG
Molecule: ribosomal RNA, 402 nt
Filed under: Anchomenus dorsalis
Lineage: Eukaryota; Metazoa; Arthropoda; Insecta; Coleoptera; Carabidae
Description: SSU rRNA
Rfam family: Eukaryotic small subunit ribosomal RNA
Source: RNAcentral